UACGUAGGGGGCAAGCGUUGUCCGGAAUCAUUGGGCGUAAAGAGCGUGUAGGCGGCCCGAUAAGUCCGCCGUGAAAGUCCAGGGCUCAACCCUGGAAUGCCGGUGGAAACUGUCGGGCUGGAGUCCGGAAGAGGCGAGUGGAAUUCCUGGUGUAGCGGUGAAAUGCGCAGAUAUCAGGAAGAACACCAAUGGCGAAAGCAGCUCUCUGGGACGGUACUGACGCUGAGACGCGAAAGCGUGGGGAGCGAACAGG
This 253-nucleotide ribosomal RNA is filed under the name uncultured bacterium. RNAcentral's name for it is "partial 16S ribosomal RNA". It matches the Rfam family "Bacterial small subunit ribosomal RNA", at positions 524 to 776 of the family's 1533-position model. The record is from RNAcentral.